AAUCAACGCUGGCGGCGUGCCUAAUACAUGCAAGUCGAACGCGAAGACCCCGCAAGGGGUUUGUAGCGUGGCAAACGGGUGAGUAACGCGUGGGCGACCUACCUUCGAGUGGGGGAUAACCUUCCGAAAGGAGGGCUAAUACCGCAUGACAUGCUCUGUUUAGAUACAGGGACAUCAAAGCCGGGGAUCGCAAGACCUGGCGCUUGGCGAGGGGCCUACGUCCGAUUAGCUAGUUGGUGGGGUAAUGGCUCACCAAGGCUUCGAUCGGUAUCCGGCCUGAGAGGGCGGACGGACACACUGGGACUGAGACACGGCCCAGACUCCUACGGGAGGCAGCAGUAGGGAAUUGUUCGCAAUGGGCGCAAGCCUGACGACGCAACGCCGCGUGGAGGAUGAAGACCUUCGGGUCGUAAACUCCUUUCGACCGAGAUGAAUACGUGCCGACCUAAUACGUCGGCGCGCUGACAGUAUCGAGGGAAGCAGCCCCGGCUAACUCCGUGCCAGCAGCCGCAGUAAUAC
RNAcentral lists this ribosomal RNA (519 nucleotides) under uncultured bacterium. RNAcentral describes it as "bacterial SSU rRNA". It matches the Rfam family "Bacterial small subunit ribosomal RNA", at positions 32 to 526 of the family's 1533-position model. The record is from RNAcentral.